UCCGUGGGAUUAGAAAAACGAAACAAUCGCUGCGGGAACAAGCAUUUAGCAAUCCAAAAUAUUCUGAUAAGAGAGUUUGUAAAUUGAGGAUUGUUCAAUAAGCAACCUUCUCUCAUUUUUGGUAUUAAAAGCAGUCGAAUAGAACGUUCAUAGAUAUUGUUCGAAAUGAAUUCGAAAAAAUAUUUUAUUCUCAUACUUGCAUUAAUUUCAUUCUUUCAUACCAAAAUUGCGAGAUGUCAAAAGGAAAAGGGAAAGCGCCCCAUAUAUUUAGUGUAUCCAGAAACGACCUGGGACUUCGCAGCCAGGGAUUGGAAUAAACAUCAUAAGGAGGCUCAUACAUUAACUUGGCCCAAAUUGUAUAAUCUCUUCAUUGAUGGCUUUGUACCAAAAAGAGUACCAAGAAACUCGAAUUAUUAUGAAAUCAGUAGUAGAGUACUUAGUCGAAUAGAAAAAUAAAAUACCUACAACAGUAAGUACCUACAUAAUUACUUAGCUGGUACUAAAACAACAUCAAGCAGUUGGUUUGUAAUGUAAUCAUAAUGAUCACCGGACAGGAUGAAAAUUCUACUCAAUGGAAUCAAUUUAUUACUGUCUUACAUUUAUUUUCCAAAUAAUAAUCAUAAGAUUCAUUUCCAUCAAUUGUAAAAGAAAUAACAAUAAUUUUUUUUUUAAUGCAGUGCAGUAAUAAUUUGCCUUUUUCUACUUUUAGAGUUAUAAAUGCAAAAUUUUCUUAAGCAAAUUUAAUAAUUUUUAGCUUUUGAAAUAAAUUAUCUAUAUGUAACUUAAACUAGCCAAACACUUGAGGUAUAAAAUAGUGAUAAUUUGAUUCUACAUUUCUGUUCAAUAUGGAUAAAUGUAUUAUGUAUAACGACUUUUAAUAAUUUGAUCAUU
Long non-coding RNA from Coccinella septempunctata (seven-spotted ladybird), 891 nucleotides. RefSeq lists it as uncharacterized. NCBI's taxonomy places the organism in Eukaryota, Metazoa, Arthropoda, Insecta, Coleoptera, Coccinellidae. The transcript has 2 exons. The record is from RefSeq and is a predicted model, not a curated record.